RNAcentral lists this small RNA (140 nucleotides) under Mytilus galloprovincialis (Mediterranean mussel). Lineage: Eukaryota; Metazoa; Mollusca; Bivalvia; Mytilida; Mytilidae. The record is from RNAcentral.
UACUCAUCAAAGACUUCAUCCACUCUUGUUAUAGUUUCAAGGUAUUUCAUAAGGUAAGGACAUAAUACCCAAUCAUCAUACUCGUUAGGAAACACCUUGAAACUGUAACAACAGUGGAUGUAGUCUCGGAUGCGAACAUA